ACUCCUACGGGAGGCAGCAGUGGGGAAUAUUGCACAAUGGGGGAAACCCUGAUGCAGCCAUGCCGCGUGUGUGAAGAAGGCCUUGGGUUGUAAAGCACUUUCAGUAGGGAGGAAGGUAGUGUAGUUAACACCUGCAUUAUUUGACGUUACCUACAGAAGAAGCACCGGCUAACUCCGUGCCAGCAGCCGCGGUAAUACGGAGGGUGCGAGCGUUAAUCGGAAUUACUGGGCGUAAAGCGCAUGCAGGCGGCCUGUUAAGUCAGAUGUGAAAGCCCGGGGCUUAACCUCGGAAUUGCAUUUGAAACUGGCAGGCUAGAGUCUUGUAGAGGGGUUAGAAUUUCAGGUGUAGCGGUGAAAUGCGUAGAGAUCUGAAGG
Molecule: ribosomal RNA, 375 nt
Filed under: uncultured bacterium
Lineage: Bacteria
Description: bacterial SSU rRNA
Rfam family: Bacterial small subunit ribosomal RNA
Source: RNAcentral